GCGGAAGGAUCAUUAAACGAAGUUCUGAAAGGGGUUGUAGCUGGCCUUCCGGGGCAUGUGCACACCCUGCUCAUCCACUCUACACCUGUGCACUUACUGUAGGUUUGGCGUGGGCUUCGGGGCCUCCGGGCUUUGAGGCAUUCUGCNGGCCUAUGUAUCACUACAAACACAUAAAGUAACAGAAUGUAUUCGCGUCUAACGCAUCUAAAUACAACUUUCAGCAACGGAUCUCUUGGCUCUCGCAUCGAUGAAGAACGCAGCGAAAUGCGAUAAGUAAUGUGAAUUGCAGAAUUCAGUGAAUCAUCGAAUCUUUGAACGCACCUUGCGCUCCUUGGUAUUCCGAGGAGCAUGCCUGUUUGAGUGUCAUGGAAUUCUCAACCCACACGUCCUUGUGAUGUUGCGGGCUUGGAUUUGGAGGCUUGCUGGCCCUCUGCGGUCGGCUCCUCUUGAAUGCAUUAGCUUGAUUCCGUGCGGAUCGGCUCUCAGUGUGAUAAUUGUCUACGCUGUGACCGUGAAGCGUUUGGCGAGCUUCUAACNGUCCUGUAUGGGACAACUUCUUGACAUCUGACCUCAAAUCAGGUAGGACUGCCCAGCUGAACUUAAGCAUAUCAAUAGCCGGGAGGAAGAUAUUAACGAGUUCUGAAAGGGGUUGUAGCUGGCCUUCCGGGGCAUGUGCACACCCUGCUCAUCCACUCUACCCGGGGCCUUACUGGAAGGUUUGGCGUGGGCUUUCGGGCCUUCGGGCUUUGAGGCAUUCUGCUGGCUAUGUAUCACUACAACACAUAAAGUAACAGAAUGUAUUCGCGUCUACGCAUCUAAUACACUUUCAGCAACGGAUCUCUGGGCUCUGCAUCGAUAAAACGCAGCGAAAUGCGAUAAGUAAUGUGAAUUGCAGAAAUCGUGAAUCAUCGAAUCUUGAACGCACUUGCGCUCUUGGUAUUCGAGAGCAUGCUGUUGAGUGUCAUGGAAUUCGACCAACGUCUGUGAUGUGCGGCUGAAUUGAGCUAGCUGCUCUGCGUCGUCGUCUGAUGCAUACUGAUCCUGCGAUCGCUCAUGUGAUAAAGUCUACUUGACUGAGCAUGGCAGCUCUACUUCGAGGACUCUGACCUG
Molecule: ribosomal RNA, 1110 nt
Filed under: Trametes sanguinea
Lineage: Eukaryota; Fungi; Basidiomycota; Agaricomycetes; Polyporales; Polyporaceae
Description: eukaryotic LSU rRNA
Rfam family: 5.8S ribosomal RNA (bases 213-366)
Source: RNAcentral